UUCGCCUUCAUGAAGCCGGAAUUGCUAGUAAUGGCAGGUCAGCAUACUGCCGUGAAUACGUUCCCGGGCCUUGUACACACCGCCCGUCACACCAUGAGAGUUGGAGAUACCCGAAGCCUGUGAGCUAACAAACGAGGCAGCAGUCGAAGGUAGAAUCAAUGAUUGGGGUGAAGUCGUAACAAGGUACC
This 188-nucleotide ribosomal RNA is filed under the name uncultured bacterium. RNAcentral's name for it is "partial 16S ribosomal RNA". It matches the Rfam family "Bacterial small subunit ribosomal RNA", at positions 1311 to 1500 of the family's 1533-position model. The record is from RNAcentral.